This 292-nucleotide ribosomal RNA is filed under the name uncultured eukaryote. RNAcentral's name for it is "partial 18S ribosomal RNA". It matches the Rfam family "Eukaryotic small subunit ribosomal RNA", at positions 6 to 295 of the family's 1831-position model. The record is from RNAcentral.
GGUUGAUCCUGCCAGUAGUCAUAUGCUUGUCUCAAAGAUUAAGCCAUGCAUGUCUAAGUAUAAGUGACAUUAUAUAACGAAACUGCGAAUGGCUCAUUAAAUCAGUUAAAAUCUACAGUAUGGUACAACUUACUACAUGGAUAACCGUGGUAAUUCUAGAGCUAAUACAUGCACAAAGACCCGACUUCUGGAAGGGUCGUGUUUAUUAGAUAAAAAACCAACCCGGGCAACCGGAACUUUUGGUGAAUCAUAAUAACUGUACGAAUCGUAUGACUUUACGUCGACGAUGCAU